Molecule: unclassified non-coding RNA, 649 nt
Filed under: uncultured Prochlorococcus sp.
Lineage: Bacteria; Bacillati; Cyanobacteriota; Cyanophyceae; Synechococcales; Prochlorococcaceae
Description: partial 16S-23S ribosomal RNA intergenic spacer; may also contain 16S ribosomal RNA and 23S ribosomal RNA
Rfam family: tRNA (bases 305-377)
Source: RNAcentral
UUGUGGAGGAGGACGCCGAAGGUGGGGCUAAUGACUGGGGUGAAGUCGUAACAAGGUAGCCGUACCGGAAGGUGCGGCUGGAUCACCUCCUAACAGGGAGACAACAAAAUGUUUAAUAUUAUUAUUUUGUCACCUUAGGUCGAUCGGUAUCUCACGUUCUUAAUUUGUUAAGAAUUUCAUUUCCUAAGUUUUUCUAGGUCACACCCAUUAUUUUUCCUGGGCCAUUAGCUCAGGCGGUUAGAGCGCACCCCUGAUAAGGGUGAGGUCCCUGGUUCAAGUCCAGGAUGGCCCAUAUCUCUAUGUUGGGGGUAUAGCUCAGUUGGUAGAGCGCCUGCUUUGCAAGCAGGAUGUCAGCGGUUCGAGUCCGCUUACCUCCACUGAUUACCACCUCUUACAUAACUGGUAAAAAGGAAAUGUUUUGAGUUGUGAUCAUUAUUCUGAACGAAUCUAGCUUCCUAAUGAAAUCAUUAAGAUGCUGGACUCAUUGAAUUAAUUUCAUUGUUUUCAGAGAACCUUGACAACUGCAUAGAUUAUUUUUAAAGACAAUAAGCAUCUUUAAUGAUGCAGAUUUAUUAUUUGUGCGAAUGCAUUAAUAACAAUUCUAUUAAGCUGAUGCUUCAAUUUUUUGAAGUUAUUGGUCAAGCUACAA